GAUGAAGAACGUAGCGAAAUGCGAUAAGUAAUGUGAAUUGCAGAAUUCAGUGAAUCAUCGAAUCUUUGAACGCACAUUGCGCCCCUUGGUAUUCCGAGGGGCAUGCCUGUUCGAGCGUCAUUAUAACCCCUCAAGCUCAGCUUGGUGUUGGGGCCUGCCGCACGGGCAGCCCUUAAAAUCAGUGGCGGUGCCAUCUGGCUCUAAGCGUAGUAAUUCUUCUCGCUAUAGAGUCCCGGUGGAUGCUUGCCAUUAACCCCCAAUUUUCUAUGGUUGACCUCGCAUCAGGUAGGGAUACCCGCUGAACUUAAGCAUAUCAAUAAGCGGAGGA
RNAcentral lists this unclassified non-coding RNA (328 nucleotides) under soil metagenome. RNAcentral describes it as "partial contains 5.8S ribosomal RNA, internal transcribed spacer 2, and large subunit ribosomal RNA". The stretch from base 1 to 120 matches the Rfam family "5.8S ribosomal RNA", at positions 35 to 154 of the family's 154-position model. The record is from RNAcentral.